UCCGAUAUAGUGUAGGGGCUAUCACAUCACGCUCUCAAACCGUGGAGACCGGGGUUCGAUUCCCCGUAUCGGAG
Molecule: transfer RNA, 74 nt
Filed under: Yarrowia lipolytica CLIB122
Lineage: Eukaryota; Fungi; Ascomycota; Dipodascomycetes; Dipodascales
Description: tRNA YALI0_E18370r
Rfam family: tRNA
About the family: Transfer RNA (tRNA) molecules are approximately 80 nucleotides in length.
Source: RNAcentral